GUGCAUUUCCACUCGUCUGAGGAAAAAUCAAUUGCGAUAUUUUGGUGAGAAAAGAAGUGUUCGUACGUUCGAAAAAUCAAUGCGGCUGAUCGAUCGACAUCGAAAAUACACAAUUUCGUUCCCAGAUUCAUACGCACUCAACGUUAAAAAGGCUGACAUCUACAAUGAUCGGCAAGUAUUGGUGUUUCCGUGCUCAGAUACCUUAUUCAGUUUAUUUAUCAAGAAGGGCAUAGAAAAUUGCUUAAUUUUGAUCAUCUCGCACACCUGGUUAUCGAUGGCUUGGACUUCAUUCUAGAAUCUAAGGUACCCAUUGAAGAAAGGCCGGAUCUUUUGAUGCGUAUACUAAUCACAUCAAGCCUGACAGUUCGCUGUUUUUCAUUCAAGGAAAUGUACAAGAUUUUGUACAAUUGCGGCAGAAUGACAUAAUCGUGCAAGUUUCUCGAUCCAAUAACCGCAGACUGAUUAUUGAAUUCAGACAAUUCGGAUCGAU
Molecule: long non-coding RNA, 490 nt
Organism: Venturia canescens
Lineage: Eukaryota; Metazoa; Arthropoda; Insecta; Hymenoptera; Ichneumonidae
Exons: 3
Source: RefSeq, a predicted model, not a curated record